GACGAACGCUGGCGGCGUGCCUAAUACAUGCCAGUCGAGCGAGCGAAACUAACAGAUUUACUUCGGUAAUAACGUUAGGAAAGCGAGCGGCGGAUGGGUGAGUAACACGUGGGGAACCUGCCCCAUAGUCUGGGAUACCACUUGGAAACAGGUGCUAAUACCGGAUAAGAAAGCAGAUCGCAUGAUCAGCUUUUAAAAGGCGGCGUAAGCUGUCGCUAUGGGAUGGCCCCGCGGUGCAUUAGCUAGUUGGUAAGGUAAAGGCUUACCAAGGCGAUGAUGCAUAGCCGAGUUGAGAGACUGAUCGGCCACAUUGGGACUGAGACACGGCCCAAACUCCUACGGGAGGCAGCAGUAGGGAAUCUUCCACAAUGGACGCAAGUCUGAUGGAGCAACGCCGCGUGAGUGAAGAAGGUUUUCGGAUCGUAAAGCUCUGUUGUUGGUGAAGAAGGAUAGAGGUAGUAACUGGCCUUUAUUUGACGGUAAUCAACCAGAAAGUCACGGCUAACUACGUG
This 512-nucleotide ribosomal RNA is filed under the name uncultured bacterium. RNAcentral's name for it is "partial 16S ribosomal RNA". It matches the Rfam family "Bacterial small subunit ribosomal RNA", at positions 28 to 507 of the family's 1533-position model. The record is from RNAcentral.